This is a long non-coding RNA of Daphnia pulicaria, 1169 nucleotides long. RefSeq lists it as uncharacterized. The transcript has 4 exons. The record is from RefSeq and is a predicted model, not a curated record. NCBI's taxonomy places the organism in Eukaryota, Metazoa, Arthropoda, Branchiopoda, Diplostraca, Daphniidae.
GAUUAACAAUUAAACUUACGCUGCCCCGAUCCACUACACUGGCCGUGAAGUAUUACUCUGCCCCGAGUUUCUACACAACCAAUGCGACGGAGCAUCACUACGCAUGCUGCCCCAUCCUACUACACCCAGGCUCCCUGCUGCUAAACCGAGGCUCCCGCUGAUUACUCCACCCAAACGGUCGAGUACUACACCGAAGCGGAAAAGUACUACUCUGCCCUGAUCUACACAGCCACAACUGAGGCGGUUAAGUAUUACGCUGUCCCGGCUUACUACACAGAAGCUGCUCUUUCGUACUACGUUGAACAGAAGAACUACACUGAUGCUCCAGUUCACAACAUCACGACCUACGCUACACCACAGCCCCCAAGUACUACACUGAAGAAGCCCCCUAUUACACAACAACGUGUGCUGCCUAGUUUACUACACCAAGGCUCCCAAGCACUACAUCACUAAGGCACCGGAAUUCUACACGUCUGUAUGUGUGCUGCCCCUGCCUACUACACCGACGCCCCGCAUUACUGCAACACUGAAACGCUCAAGUAGCCUACUGCACUACAACCUACGCUGCCCCGAGCUACUACACUUACGUCCCGAAGUAUUACUGUGCGUAAAAGGAGUCGUCUAAAAAAAAAAGAAGUCGUGCCCGAACUGCAGUCUGUCAUCAACUGCAUUCCUCAUCGUGUAACCGAUUCGCAAUUAUGGUCAAUGAUUAUGGCGUCGUGUUCCUGUUGGGUGUUGUAUCGUUGAUGGCUGGGUCGACCGCUGGUGUACUGAUGUCUCCUCGGUAUGGCGGAAACCAAACCGCAACGCCGCCGCCUUCCUACACAACUUACGCAACGACCAGUGCCUGCACCGAGGUCUUCAAGUACUACACCAUUAAAGCACCGGAGUUUUAUACCACAACUUACGCUGCCCCGAGCCACUACGCUGACGCCCUGAAGUAUUACUCUGUCCUUGGUUACUACACCAUCUAGGCGACGGAGUACUACAUGUCUACGUAUGCUGCCCCAUCCUACUACGCCGAGGCUUCUAACUGCUACACCGAGGCUCACGCUGAUUACUCCACCCAAACGGUCGAAUACUACACCGAAGUGGCAAAGUACUUCUCUGCCCUGAUCUACACAACCACAGCUGAGGCGGCCAAGUAUUACGCAGUCCCGAGUUGCUAC